UCUGCUUCGCCCGCCCGCCCGCCGUUGUGAAAAUGAAACCGCGUCGCGUCGGACUUCAAUCUCCCAUUUCCAGCAGGCCGGAGUUCGUUCGUGUCCACAAGCAUUCCUCAGUCUCCACAAACAAAUCUGACACGGAUCCUACUCCACUGUGCUGUGACGCGCUGUGCGAUGCUCGAAAACUCCCGGCACGGAACAUCCGAUCCUUCCGAAGCAGAAAAACAAACACAAAGAGCGAGGCACGAGUUUGAGAGGACGAUGAUGAUGAUGAUGAUGAUGGCGAAAACAAACGAGAGUUUGAGAGGAGCUGAGAAACAAGAAUUGGUAACGAGUACUCCAUUGGACAGCGGUGUAUCGCACGAGGAACAGAACAGUGAAACAGGAGGAGGUGGUCCUCCCUGGGAGGGGAGGGGCGUCACGUACCCAUCAUCCUCCGUGCCGGUGCGCCGGUGCCUGGUCCAUCCGGUUUGUUGCCGAGUCCCAAAUUUUUGGCCUCUGCCUCUGCGUCUAGUUGAGUUGAUGUAUGAUGUAUCUCCCCUCUCCCCACCACCGCCGAUAUCCAGGCAAAGCAUAGCUAUAGCUGGUUUUGUUCGCGGCCGGCCCUCGCGUUGCCAUCGCGCAUUCAAAGCGAGAUCUCCGAGCCAAUCUUCGGCAACUGACCUAACGGUGGUGGUAGGACAGCAGGCUCCGGCUCCAGGUCCUUCUUUUGGUGGU
This 711-nucleotide long non-coding RNA is filed under the name Sorghum bicolor (sorghum). RNAcentral describes it as "long non-coding RNA (SBIC_LNC005416)". The record is from RNAcentral. Lineage: Eukaryota; Viridiplantae; Streptophyta; Magnoliopsida; Poales; Poaceae.